UCGCCCUUUUUCCUCCAAAUAUACCGUUUAUCAUUAUGGCCGAACAGUUCAAUUUUUGUUUCGUCAGACCAC
Non-coding RNA from Pangasianodon gigas (Mekong giant catfish), 72 nucleotides. NCBI's taxonomy places the organism in Eukaryota, Metazoa, Chordata, Actinopteri, Siluriformes, Pangasiidae. The record is from the annotation of a GenBank genome assembly.